RNAcentral lists this ribosomal RNA (549 nucleotides) under uncultured bacterium. RNAcentral's name for it is "bacterial SSU rRNA". It matches the Rfam family "Bacterial small subunit ribosomal RNA", at positions 355 to 895 of the family's 1533-position model. The record is from RNAcentral.
UAGGGAAUCUUCGGCAAUGGACGGAAGUCUGACCGAGCAACGCCGCGUGAGUGAAGAAGGUUUUCGGAUCGUAAAGCUCUGUUGUAAGAGAAGAACGAGUGUGAGAGUGGAAAGUUCACACUGUGACGGUAUCUUACCAAAAAGGGACGGCUAACUACGUGCCAGCAGCCGCGGUAAUACGUAGGUCCCGAGCGUUGUCCGGAUUUAUUGGGCGUAAAGCGAGCGCAGGCGGUUAGAUAAGUCUGAAGUUAAAGGCUGUGGCUUAACCAUAGUAGGCUUUGGAAACUGUUUAACUUGAGUGCAAGAGGGGAGAGUGGAAUUCCAUGUGUAGCGGUGAAAUGCGUAGAUAUAUGGAGGAACACCGGUGGCGAAAGCGGCUCUCUGGCUUGUAACUGACGCUGAGGCUCGAAAGCGUGGGGAGCAAACAGGAUUAGAUACCCUGGUAGUCCACGCUGUAAACGAUGAGUGCUAGGUGUUAGACCCUUUCCGGGGUUUAGUGCCGUAGCUAACGCAUUAAGCACUCCGCCUGGGGAGUACGACCGCAAGGUU